CAGGCUUGUAGCUCAGGUGGUUAGAGCGCACCCCUGAUAAGGGUGAGGUCGGUGGUUCAAGUCCACUCAGGCCUACC
This 77-nucleotide transfer RNA is filed under the name Escherichia coli. Its description in RNAcentral is "tRNA-Ile". It matches the Rfam family "tRNA". Rfam says of the family: Transfer RNA (tRNA) molecules are approximately 80 nucleotides in length. Their secondary structure includes four short double-helical elements and three loops (D, anti-codon, and T loops). RNAcentral also lists the same sequence under 3 other names. The record is from RNAcentral. Lineage: Bacteria; Pseudomonadati; Pseudomonadota; Gammaproteobacteria; Enterobacterales; Enterobacteriaceae.